AUUCACGUCUCUCUCUCUCUCUCUCUCUCUCGAGCUGCCAUCCCUCUCCCUUUCUCUCACUUGAAUCCCUCCCUUUCUCUCUCUCUCUCUCUCUCUCUCUCCAUGGUCUUCCACUAAAAAUACUUCAGCCAUGAGUUUCUUUUCAAGCCACCACAACCGGUUGUGAAGAAAAGAUUUUGGGAAGAGAGGGACUCAUUUGGCCAAGCAAGGAAUUUGAGGUUCCGAGAUUUUUGCUGAUGGACCUAGUGAUGGGAUUGGUUGAUUUCAUGGUGCACAGUUGAGGUCUUCUGAAAACAAAAGCAGGUUGAUUCGGAGAAGGAAGAGUUGUUUCACAACUUAGCAUGAGAAGAAUUGCCAACAUUGUUGGUCG
Quercus lobata is the source of this 370-nucleotide long non-coding RNA. RefSeq lists it as uncharacterized. Lineage: Eukaryota; Viridiplantae; Streptophyta; Magnoliopsida; Fagales; Fagaceae. The transcript has 3 exons. The record is from RefSeq and is a predicted model, not a curated record.